Molecule: ribosomal RNA, 871 nt
Filed under: Weissella cibaria
Lineage: Bacteria; Bacillati; Bacillota; Bacilli; Lactobacillales; Lactobacillaceae
Description: bacterial SSU rRNA
Rfam family: Bacterial small subunit ribosomal RNA
Source: RNAcentral
UAAUACAUGCAAGUCGAACGCUUUGUGGUUCAACUGAUUUGAAGAGCUUGCUCAGAUAUGACGAUGGACAUUGCAAAGAGUGGCGAACGGGUGAGUAACACGUGGGAAACCUACCUCUUAGCAGGGGAUAACAUUUGGAAACAGAUGCUAAUACCGUAUAACAAUAGCAACCGCAUGGUUGCUACUUAAAAGAUGGUUCUGCUAUCACUAAGAGAUGGUCCCGCGGUGCAUUAGUUAGUUGGUGAGGUAAUGGCUCACCAAGACGAUGAUGCAUAGCCGAGUUGAGAGACUGAUCGGCCACAAUGGGACUGAGACACGGCCCAUACUCCUACGGGAGGCAGCAGUAGGGAAUCUUCCACAAUGGGCGAAAGCCUGAUGGAGCAACGCCGCGUGUGUGAUGAAGGGUUUCGGCUCGUAAAACACUGUUGUAAGAGAAGAAUGACAUUGAGAGUAACUGUUCAAUGUGUGACGGUAUCUUACCAGAAAGGAACGGCUAAAUACGUGCCAGCAGCCGCGGUAAUACGUAUGUUCCAAGCGUUAUCCGGAUUUAUUGGGCGUAAAGCGAGCGCAGACGGUUAUUUAAGUCUGAAGUGAAAGCCCUCAGCUCAACUGAGGAAUUGCUUUGGAAACUGGAUGACUUGAGUGCAGUAGAGGAAAGUGGAACUCCAUGUGUAGCGGUGAAAUGCGUAGAUAUAUGGAAGAACACCAGUGGCGAAGGCGGCUUUCUGGACUGUAACUGACGUUGAGGCUCGAAAGUGUGGGUAGCAAACAGGAUUAGAUACCCUGGUAGUCCACACCGUAAACGAUGAGUGCUAGGUGUUUGAGGGUUUCCGCCCUUAAGUGCCGCAGCUAACGCAUUAAGCACUCCGCC